GUCAGCCGCCGCGGUAACACCGGCGGCCCGAGUGGUGAUCGUGAUUAUUGGGUCUAAAGGGUCCGUAGCCGGUUUGGUCAGUCCUCCGGGAAAUCUGAUAGCUCAACUAUUAGGCUUUCGGGGGAUACUGCCAGACUUGGAACCGGGAGAGGUAAGAGGUACUACAGGGGUAGGAGUGAAAUCUUGUAAUCCCUGUGGGACCACCUGUGGCGAAGGCGUCUUACCAGAACGGGUUCGACGGUGAGGGACGAAAGCUGGGGGCACGAACCGGAUUAGAUACCCGGGUAGUCCCAGCCGUAAACGAUGCUCGCUAGGUGUCAGGCAUGGCGCGACCGUGUCUGGUGCCGCAGGGAAGCCGUGAAGCGAGCCACCUGGGAAGUACGGCCGCAAGGCUGAAACUUAAAGGAAUUGGCGGGGAAGCACAACAACGGGUGGAGCCCUGCGGUUUAAUUGGACUCAACGCCGGACAACUCACCGGGGGCGACAGCAAUAUGUAGGCCAAGCUGAAGACUUUGCCUGAAUCGCUGAGAAGAGGUGCAUGG
This 542-nucleotide ribosomal RNA is filed under the name uncultured archaeon. Its description in RNAcentral is "bacterial SSU rRNA". It matches the Rfam family "Archaeal small subunit ribosomal RNA", at positions 457 to 997 of the family's 1478-position model. The record is from RNAcentral.